RNAcentral lists this ribosomal RNA (631 nucleotides) under uncultured bacterium. RNAcentral's name for it is "bacterial SSU rRNA". It matches the Rfam family "Bacterial small subunit ribosomal RNA", at positions 28 to 706 of the family's 1533-position model. The record is from RNAcentral.
GAUGAACGCUGGCGGCGUGCAUAACACAUUCAAGUCGAACGGUGAAGGAAGCUUGCUUUCGGAUCAGUGGCGGACGGGUGAGUAACGCGUGAGCAACCUGCCCUGCAUUGGGGGAUAACACAGGGAAACUUGUGCUAAUACCUCAUGACAUAUACUUACCGCAUGUUAGGUAUAUCAAAGAGAAAUCGAUGCAGGAUGGGCUCGCGUUUGAUUAGGUAGUUGGCGGGGUAAGGGCCCACCAAGCCUGCGAUCAUUAGCCGAACUGAGAGGUUGAACGGCCACAUUGGAACUGAGAAACGGUCCAGACUCCUACGGGAGGCAGCAGUGGGGAAUAUUGGGCAAUGGGCGAAAGCCUGACCAAGCGACGCCGCGUGAGGGAAGACGUCUUCGGUUGUAACCUCUUUCAGCAGGAAGAAGACAGUGACGUACCUGCAGAAGAGUCCACGGCUACUACUUGCAGCAGCCGCGGUAAUACUAAGUGGCGAGCGGUAUCCCGAAUACAUGGUGUAAGGGGGGGUAGGCGGGUCGGCAGCCACUGAAAUCAAGCACUGCUGUUGACUGCCAUCUGGUGGAGGUACGGAUCUUGGUUUAUGGUAUGAACGGAGGUUGAUUUCAACGGGAAAUGCCAAGG